Regulatory RNA element from Vibrio nigripulchritudo, 132 nucleotides. It matches the Rfam family "Gammaprotebacteria rimP leader". Lineage: Bacteria; Pseudomonadati; Pseudomonadota; Gammaproteobacteria; Vibrionales; Vibrionaceae. The record is from Rfam.
AUAAUGUUCAGUUAUAUCAGGGUCCAGCAACAAAAACCCCGACUAAUCGGGGUUUUUUGUUAUUUGUAUUUUGUGUUGUGCAAAAUAUGAGUAAUGUUCGGGCUAUUUGAUAGGGCUAUUAGCCCUUUUUUU